RNAcentral lists this long non-coding RNA (5525 nucleotides) under Equus caballus (horse). RNAcentral describes it as "lncRNA (ENSECAG00000038864.2)". The record is from RNAcentral. Lineage: Eukaryota; Metazoa; Chordata; Mammalia; Perissodactyla; Equidae.
GGCAAGUGACUGAAGUUCUCAGUUUCCUCAUACCAUGAGUGUGAGGUUAGUACCUGCCACAUUAGGUGCGUGGGACCCAAUCAAACGUAAAUGUGUGAGGCGCCCACUGCCAGGUUCAUAAUCACUGCUCCGUGGCUGCUGAUGGUUCUGAUGCUUAUCAUGACCGCUAGGAGCUGGAGAUAGAUCUUGAGAUCUCUUCUGCCCGGGUCAUGGGUAAACAUGAUGGAUAAAAUUAUGUGAACCAGAGUUUGAAUUUUGGCUUCUAGUUUUGUGACUCCCCCUUUCUGAGCUCUCGUUCUCAUCUGUAAAGCGGAGCAGCGACACCACUGUUCACAGGCUUGCUGCGAGGAUGGGAGGCAGCAGCGAGGGGACGGAGCCCUCCCAGCAGUAAACCGCAACUGUGACCCCCUAAUUCAAAGCUCCUCCCCUCGGCGGCAGCGAGGACAACGGCUUUCAGUUUGAAGAAUGGUGGCUGUUACACUAAGAUGGAGCCAGAGCAUCUCGGGAUGCUGUCCGACACUCCGAGGGCAGCAGAACUCUCGCUGGGUGGCUGAUGGCAGACCCAUUCUCUUGCCUCGAAUGCAGCAGACUGACCGCUUCCAGUCCUGUGCUGUCCCACUCCGCAUGAUCAGCAGUGGACGAUCACAAUGGGAAUGGCCGAAUGAACAGGAGAACAUGCAGCCUGCAGUCUCUGGUAUGUGCCAGGGACACAGAGAUAACGGGAAAUGACGAAUGAGGCCAAAGCCAGCUAAAGAUGGGACUCCAGUUUGGCAUGUAACUGAGAAUUCUCCUCUGCUCUUGCACAAUGACAGACAAGGUCUCGUGGCCUUGAGGUGGGUCUGGGAAGGGGGUGAAUCUGGCUGGGCAGCUGGGGGCCAGAGUCUAAUUGAGUCCCCUGCUUUACCACCGAGAUCCUGAUGUCCUUGGUCCUCAGCUCCUGAGUGAUUCUUUCUAUAUCCCAGUGAUAACCAGCAUGACGUGACAGGUAGGGGGGAGGGGACACCCAAAACUCAUUGAUGAGUUCUGGCCACAAAGAAACUUCUGCAAAUGGAAAGAACCAUUACACACUUGCACACACACACACACACACGGGCUAUUCAUUUUAGAAAAAUCAUGGUCUAUUUGAUGACGGCUUAUGUUUCUUUCUAAAUUGAGUUCAAACUGGCAUAAAAACAUGUAUUUUGCUUUGUCCUUUGGCCUCUCUUCUUCUCAUUAUCUGAUAUUCUUUUGAGGAUCAGAUGCACGUCUAUCACAGGGAACAGGAACACCGAGGACAGGCAGCAAACAGCUUGGAGUGGUUACAAGGAUGAGCUUCCAGAGUCACGGGGCACGGGGCACCCAAGGCCUCGGGCACGUGGCAGAGCACAUUUGUUCCUUAAAGUCGGUAGGAUCCAGUCUGUGUUUUGAUAACAUUGCUCUGAAGGAGGCUCCGUCCCUUCUAAGUCAUGCCCUGGAGCUUAGUCCAUCAUAUGGCUCCUCUUAUUUUAUUCACAGCACUUAUUCUUACCUUUACCUCAUUGUCGAUUUGCUUAUAAUCUCUCUCCUCUAGAAGAAAGAGAGUUUGACAAGAGCAGCCACCUUAUCUGUCUUGUUCACCCACGUUUUCCCAGCUUAGAGCAGUGCCUGCCAUAGUGCAGGCACUUGACAAAUAUCUAUUGAAUGAAUGAAUGAAUGAAUGGCCCUCAGCCUUGCCUUCUUACUUAACACAAGCCUGGGGCAACCACGAUGCAGCCGAGGUGUACCAUCAGGAGAUCCAGUCUGCUGCCCCAGGAAAACCCCUAAAAUGGACUUUCCAUACCCACACCACAACAUGGAUGUCAUCUCCCCCAAACAGGAUAGCUUCGAGCGUGCAUUCAGUUCACGCAGGUGAAAAGUUCCCACGUGUUUUCUGGCACGUGGCAGGAGUUUGCCCAGGCAUUGCUGAAUCCAACACAGCUUUUAUCAUUUCCCCCAUUUCAGAGAAGAAAAGACUGAGGCUCAGAGGUGGACAGAAGUGGUAAAGCCAUGACUCAUGCCCCUAUCUUCUGAUUCUCCGAUCACAGCUCUUUCUGCCUCUUUAUGCCAUUUUUCUAGAACAAUCUCCCACACACACACUCAGUGCAUGUUAGUGGUUUAAGCUUACAUUUUUUAAUUUAAAAAAAUUUAAUUUAACAUUUUCCCCAAACAAACGCUUCAUUUUUCUUCUCAGCCAAGGCGUAUUCCCAAGUAAAGGCUUCAGAUAGACAGAUGGAAAGAGGGACAAGGGUCAUUUUCUACAGAGGGCAAUCUUUCUGGCAGGUCUUAGGGGGCAAACCCUGAACCCAGGCAUGCGGUGGACCCGGGGGACUCCCCCAGUCCUCCUCUCCCUCCUUUCCCCUGGAAGGGCAGCUGGGUCCUCUGGGCAAGCUGCAGAGCAAGGACCCUCCUCCCUCUUAGCUUCCCUCUCAAGCCUCAGUGGGAUGGGGACAAACGAUUUCUCUUGCAGGCGAAGAUCGGGCAGAGGUUUCUGGGCUGUGCCAAGCCACGGUUUUGUUUUACCUCGUGAUGAGGAACAGCUGUGUCCCAAAGGGGCGGCACCUCGCCGCCUCCGCAGUGUUUUGAUAAGAGGCGCGGGGUUGGCGAGUGUGGACGAGAUGAGGAAUCGCGUUUCUCGCAACAGUCCUCGCGCUCCAGGUCACGAGCUAAUCUCCUUUGGGAAACCGAGACCAGAGAUGGGCCUCCCUCUCUCCCUGCUAUCUCAGGGUAUUUUCUGUCACCAUGGAGAAUGGUAGAGGCUGGAAAAGGUCAAAAGGACACGGCCUACGAGCUGAGGCGGCAGAGCAGUGAAGCCUGUUGGAAAGUGCCAGCAUCCAAGAGGAGGAUGGUGAGAACCGUAGAGCCGGGUGCCGGGUCAGUCGGAUGGACACGGGUUCCAAGGCCACCUCUGUGCCGCCAGCUGUGGAUGUCCGAGUCUCAGUUUCCAUAUCCGUACCUAAAGGGCUGGUAGGAGUGAACGAGUUGGGCUGUGCAGGGCCCUUUGGUGUUUCAGGCGAUGUGAGUUGAAGAAGGAAUGAGCGCUUGGUCUUCAGAAGGGGCAGAGACGAGCCGCCAGGUCGGGUCAGAGUCACGGUUAACAAGCUCUCGGCUCCUCACUCCGUCGCUGUUUGGUUUUCACUGCGUCGCGAUUUUGCAGCUUUCCCACUCGGACCACCAACUUUCCUGAGCGUUUAGCCUUCUCUGCCGGCUGCCGUCCCCUCCCUCUCAGAGUCCCCCACCCCCAUCCGCAUCUACUUGAUGAUGACAGGAAUCGCCAGGGGCACCAGGCAGCUCAGAAGUAUACUCCAGGACAUGGCUGUCACACUUUUCUUUUUUCCUAAGACCCACAGUAAGAAAUAUAUUAAUAAAUUUUGCAUUGCAAAUCAACCCACACAUACAUAUAAAUGACUGAUUAAAGAAAUUUCAUGAAACACUCCCCGUCCUUCUUAUCUGCACUCUAUUAUUUUCUUUUCCAUUCCACUUCAUUCCAUUCUAUUCUACUUUAUUUUGCCUUUGAAAGUGCUGGUUACCACCCAGUAAUCUAGUUCAUUAACCAGCUGCCAGUUUGAGAAACACUGGUUUCCGGUGGGACUGCCAUGCCGUUCUCUCUGUCCAGUUGUGGACUGUAUCAGUGGCCCUAGAAACCUGUGUUCCAAUUCACAGCCUAAGAAUCAUCAGGGGCCUUGAUAAAUGUACAAAUUUCCAGGCUCCAUCCCCAGAGAUUUGACAGCGUUUCAGAGACUGGUCAGAACCAGAGUGUCUCGUGGGGUCUCCCUGGCACUGAGAUGGAGAUUCUGAUUCCAGGGAGAAAGCUUCUGAUUGGUCUAGAUGGGUCAGAGAAGGAAGAUGCCUUGAUGGGCAGUCCCACCAACACUGUAUCCCUUGGGGUGGGUAGCUCCCCAAAGUAAGUAGAAGAAAGGGUGAUGGAUGCUGCCAGGGACUGUUUGUGUCGCCCCAAAAUUCAUAUGUUGAAAUUCUGACCCCGAAUGUGAUGGUAUCUGGAGGUGGGGCCUUUGGGUUGAUUAGGUCAUGAGGUAGAACCCUCAUGAAUGGGAUUAGUGCCCUUAUUAGGAGACGCCAGAGAGCUCUCUUGUCCCUUCUGCCAUGUGAGGACACAGGGAAAAGAUGACUAUUUAUAAACCAGGAAGCAGGUCUGACUAGACUCUGAAGCUGCCAGUGCCCUGAUGUGGGACUUCCCAGCCUCAAGAACUGUGAGAAAUAAAAGUCUGUCGUUUAAUAAGCCACCCAGUCUAUGGUAUUCUGUUUUAACAGCCCAAACAGACUAAGACGCUGAGCAGGCAACAUCAAUGUCCACACAGAGACUGUUCUAGAACACCUAGGUAACAGUUUGCUAAGCUCUCCUCUGCUGCUUACAUUCUCCCGUGUGCUUUCUGGGGUGCCUAGCACAGUGCGCGCGGCAGGCAUCCAACGCGUGUGGGUUGCAUGAAAACCAACGUACAGUUGCAUUUUGACCACGAGUCUUGGUCAAAAUGAUUGGGUUUUUGACCCUGUGCUUCAUGUACACAAUUGAAGACAAAAUCCCUGAGGUCCAGUGUCUACUGAUUACAACAGAGUCCAGAAGAUUUUUUUUUUAAUUUUAUUUAACAAACUCUUACCAUGUACAAGCCAGUGUUCUGAGAGCCUUACAAAUAUUAACUUAUUAGGUCUACAUAAAACCCUCUAAGAGAGGUCCUAUUACAUGCCAGGCACUAUCUGAGGUAUUGUACCCAUGUGCUUCUAAGAUUCACACCUCUCCUGUAAGGGGCAGCGAUUAUUUUUUUCCAUAGGCGGACACUGAGACUCGGAGAGGUUAUAUAACUUGUCAUAGGCCCCACAGUAAGCAGCAGAGCUGCACUUUGAACCCUAGAAAGGAGGAAUGAGUCAGGCCAGGAGAAUCUUUGAAACUGCAUUUCAUCCUAGAGAUACCAGUUAGCUCUUGCAUGCUAAGAACAGCCACAGGUUGAAAUGCGCCAAGCCCUGAGGGAAAAAGAGCUCCCUUCUUACAAACAGAAACAGAGACAUGGAACCAAAGUGACUCACAGAAGUUCCCGCUGUGGACAGGACGCCGAUCAACACAUGGAACCUCCAGUGGCUGGCUGGGCAUUCCUAUAGCUUCGAUGUGCCCUCAUUCUGUUAAAAUGCAGUGACAAGGAAAUUCAUCACUGCUCACAUGAUUUUUGUUUUCCAAUGAGAGGAAGAAAGCUCUAUUCACUCACGGAGAGUUUUGUUCAAACAUCAAGCUCUAUUUUAAUUUUCUAGUGGCCAGUAUUGCAGUCAGCCACGCUUUAAAACAAUGACCCCGAAUUCCUCUUGCCUUCAUUGCAGUGACAAUGUUGUUACAGCUGACUAAUACUCUUUCUCAGUCUGUGUGGCUAACCAGCAUUUUCUGAGUUAAAUAUGUCUCUCAAGGUUGUCCCAGGUAGGUUCUGGGAUGGAAACUCUUGCUCCUAAUUUGGAAAAACGGUCCCUAGGGUCAUUUUUCAAUAAUAAAUAACAAGUAUAUAUUUAUUAAUAAAAAUAAACAAGUGGCA